CUCCGGGCCGGCCGAGUAUGCGCACAGGAGACCUCUGAGCCGGUGGGAGGUGGCAUGGGGGCGAGUACGCAGACUGACGGGCACAGCCGGGACGGCGGCCGAGCUGGCCCCGGGCCCCGCCGCCUCGGGGAGCUCGCCGGAAGUGACUGCCGGGUGCGGCGCAGUGUCCAAGGUGGUGGCGCCGCGCCCGAGUGAGGAGCAGGGACUGCGUGAUGGCGGCCGUGGAGGGGGCCCCGGUCGAGCGGGAGGUUGGGGGUGGCCUGGAGAAAUUCAAGAUGCUGCAGGACGUGGCUGUGAAUGAAUCACAAAAGGAUGCCAGGCUCCAGGGCUGCACUCAGUGGAGUCUCUGCAAGGAAGAGAUGCUAGAGGAGAAGACAGAGCCAGCCUCACUGGCUAAGGGCUCUGUCCUCUAACUUAGAAUCCAUACACUCUGAGUUCUUAAGAGCUUUGAUGGGAAAACAAAAAACAAAGUUUUUGAAGAUCUCAGUGGAAUUAGAGGAUGAAGGAUUCCCAGUGGCUUUGAUUCUCGGAGAUUCUGAGGCCAGGAAUAAAAUGAAGAACUGGAAAUCAAAGAUGGAAAUUCAUGAAAAAUAGUCAGCAGGGGCUGUAUCAGAAAGAUUCCAAAAACAGAUCUCCCAGGAAUGUGGAUUAGUUGAAACCAGUGAUCAUGAGGACAGACUAAUGAAGCAUUGGGUAAGCCCCUUGGAGGAUUCGGUGAGACAGUUGCCUUUGCAAGAGAGAGGUAUUAGGGAAGUGAGUCUCAUCCCUAAGAAAGCCAUUACAGGAAAGAGAGGCCAUGGAUGUAAUGAAAGAGAAAACAUACUUUCUGCAAGAGAAAGAUCCCAUAGAUAUGAGUUCUGUGGCCAGAGCUUCGAGCCAAGUAACUCAACAUCAGAAAACUGAUAAUAUAAAGAAAACUUAUGAAUGUAAGGACUGUGGGAAAACUUUCAAUAGGAACUCAUACCUGAUUAUACGUCACAGGAUUCAUACAGGAAAUAAACCAUAUGUGUGUAAUGAAUGUGGGAAAGACUUUAAUCAAAGUUCAAACCUUAUUAUACAUCAGAGGAUUCAUACAGGAAAAAAACCUUAUGUAUGCCAUGAAUGUGGAAAAGACUUCAAUCAGAGCUCUAAUCUGGUCAGACAUUAAAGAAUUCAUAGUGGUGAGAAUCCUUAUGAAUGUAAAGAGUGUGGAAGGGCCUUCAAGGGAAACUCAAACCUUGUCCUACACCAGAGAAUUCAUAGUGGAGGAAAGCCAUAUGUAUGUAAUGUAUGUGGGAAGGCCUUCAAUCAAAGCUCAGAUCUUAUAAUACAUCACAGAAUGAAUUCACACUGGAGAGAAACCCUAUGAAUGUUAUGAAUGUGGACAAACCUUCAGUCAAACUUCACACCUUGUCACCCAUCAAAGAAUUCAUACCGGAGAGAAACCCUUCAAGUGUAAUGAAUGUGAAAAGGCCUUCAGGCAGCAUUCAUGCCUUACUGAACACUAGAGACUCCACACUGAAGAGAAACCCUAUGAAUGUUGCAAAUGUGGGAAAUCCUUCAGUGGGCGCACAGCUGUUCUUAAACAUCAGAAGCUGCAUACUGGAAAGGAACUUGAAUGUGAAAAAGCCUGUAUUUCUGACUUGGACCUUAUCAAACAACAGAGAAUUCAUAGGAAAGAAAAACCUUAUAGAUGUACUGAGUGUGGAAAAACUUUCCGAGGAAGUUCAGAUCUAAUAAGGCAUUGGAUAGUUCAUACUGGAGAGAAACCCUAUGAAUGCACUGAAUGUGGGAAAGCCUUUAGCCAGAGGUCACACCUUGUUACACAUCAGAAAAUUCACACUGGAGAGAAACCCUAUCAGUGCCGUGAAUGUGGGAAAGCCUUCCGGCAGCAUUCACUCCUCAUUCAGCAUCAGAGAAUUCAUAGUGGUGAGAAACCUUAUCAAUGUAAGGAAUGUGGGAAAGCCUUCAUCUGGCGCACAGCUUUUCUCAAACAUCAGAGACUUCGUACUAGAGAAAAACUUGAAUGUGAGAAAACAUUCAGCAAGAAUCUGUUGCUUAGAGAAGAGCAGCGAAUUCUCCAAGAGGAGAAAGCUUAUCAGUGUUACCAGUGUUGUAGAACUUUCCAUGGCAGCUCAGACCUCAUCAGACAUCAGGUAGCUCAUACAGGUGAGAAACUAUAUAAAUUUUAAAAAUGUGGGAAAACUUUCAAUCAGAGCUCAGACCUUUGAGACAUCAUAGAAUUCAUAGUGGUGAAAAACCUUAUAUAUGUAAUAAAUGUGGGAAAUAUUUUAGGGGCAGCUCAGAUCUUAUUAAACACCAGUGUGUACACACCAGAGAGAAACCCUAUGAAUGCCCUGAAUGUGGGAAGGCCUUCAGUCUGAACUCACACCUUAUUAGUCACCAGAGAAUUCAUACAGGAGAGACACCCUUUGAAUGUAGCAACUGUGGGAAGGCCUUCAGUGGGCGCAAAGCUUUUCUUAAACAUCAGAAACUUCAUACUAGAAAGGAAUUUGGGGAAUGUGAGUCUUCAUACAGGUCUAAUAGGUAACAGAAACCUAAUAAGUGUAGGAAGAGCCUGAUGGAGACCUCAUAUUAUUGAACUAAAGAUUUUUUUUUAACCAUGGAAAAGCUCUUGGACAUUAUGGCUUUUUUUCUGCCUCAGAGUUGACACUGGACAGUGAUCCCCAGGAUGUAAUUACUUGAGAAUGUUUUAGGGGACUUCUAUCAUUAUUAAAAUCAUUAGAUUAAAAAUGAUUUUGGCAACAACCCAAAAACUAAAUUCUUCAUGAAGGAGCCAUUUCAAUCUUGACUACCUAGUACAGUGGCAAGUACAAAUUGAUUUAAGUACUUUGGGGUGAUUAAAUCUUUCUCUGGGAUGAAUUAUUCCCCAUAGGUAUGUGUUUUAUACAUAUUCCACUUUUUUUCUUCCUUAUAAAAGUAUACUUAUGCAUAUGUGAUAAGUAAAUGGUACACUAAUUGAGAGGAAAUGAAAAAUAAUCAAAAUGGCAACAGGAUAGCUGAAGGCUAGGAACCAGAGCCAAUGAGGUGUUCCCCCAAGAAACACUUGUAACUUUGAGGAAUGAAAGAGCAAGAAACCAGGAGGACAGUAGGUGUUGGAAAUAGAAUUAGACUGAAUGCCAGGGCACAGCUUUGAGGAAACAUGAGUUGGUGGGAAUCAGAGGAAAUUAUCUACCAUGACCAGUCAGGUUAUUACAGGGAGAGUUCUUCUGUCUUGAACCAAAGCUUUGUAAUUAGGCACAGCUUAUUUGAGAAAUGGAGAGUCCAAAUAGAACUCUAUAGAGAUGCAAGUCAUCAUUUAACCUGAUAACUAAUAUUGGUAAUUAAGCUCUGCCUAUUUGGGCAAUCGAAUUCAAUAGUCAAAUGUUUGUGCUCUGAACUACUGACAGAUUGUAUAUUAAUUUACGUGAGUCAUCAAAGAAAGCUACCGAAUGGAACAAUAUAAGACAAGAAUUUCAACCUCAUAUCUUUCUUCAGUGGGAGUAGCUUGUGAGAUGCACAAAGGGGAUCAGUAUUUCUCAACUGGGGUGAUUUUGUCUCUCAGGGGACAUUUGGCUAUCUUUGGAGACAUUUUGGUCAUCACAAAUCGGAAUAAGAGUGGCAUCUCAAGACCUAGGAUGUUGUAAAAUAUCUGACAAUACACAGCUCCCCACAACAGAAUUAUCUGGCCCCAAGUGUCAGUAGUGCUAUGAUUAAGAAACCAUGCCCAUGGAUAUUUAGAACAUAAGUCACCUGGGGUCGUGUACAGAUUUCAGUGGAUGUGCAUAGUGGCAGUGCAUCCCAAGGGGAACCCAGGGUUUGACAGAAAUCUAAAGUUUGAUGAACUGUUUCAAGACAAGCAAUCUGGUACAGUGAAGGGAGCACAGACAUAAGCAAUCAGAGAUCAGUUUGAAUCCAGUAGAAUGUAUGGGCUUCAGGACCUUGAGCAAAUUAUGUAACCCCUCUGAUCCUUAUUUUCCUUGCUAAUAAAAUGGUGUUAAA
Molecule: long non-coding RNA, 3981 nt
Organism: Manis pentadactyla (Chinese pangolin)
Lineage: Eukaryota; Metazoa; Chordata; Mammalia; Pholidota; Manidae
Exons: 3
Source: RefSeq, a predicted model, not a curated record